CCUACGGGAGGCAGCAGUGAGGAAUAUUGGUCAAUGGACGAGAGUCUGAACCAGCCAAGUAGCGUGAAGGAUGACUGCCCUAUGGGUUGUAAACUUCUUUUAUAUGGGAAUAAAAUGUUCCACGUGUGGGAUUUUGUAUGUACCAUAUGAAUAAGGUUCGGCUAACUCCGUGCCAGCAGCCGCGGUAAUACGGAGGAUCCGAGCGUUAUCCGGAUUUAUUGGGUUUAAAGGGAGCGUAGGUGGAUUGUUAAGUCAGUUGUGAAAGUUUGCGGCUCAACCGUAAAAUUGCAGUUGAAACUGGCAGUCUUGAGUACAGUAGAGGUGGGCGGAAUUCGUGGUGUAGCGGUGAAAUGCUUAGAUAUCACGAAGAACUCCGAUUGCGAAGGCAGUUCACUGGACUGCAACUGACACUGAGGCUCGAAAGUGUGGGUAUCAAACAGGAUUAGAUACCCCUGUAGUC
Molecule: ribosomal RNA, 460 nt
Filed under: uncultured bacterium
Lineage: Bacteria
Description: partial 16S ribosomal RNA
Rfam family: Bacterial small subunit ribosomal RNA
Source: RNAcentral